Molecule: ribosomal RNA, 374 nt
Filed under: uncultured prokaryote
Description: bacterial SSU rRNA
Rfam family: Bacterial small subunit ribosomal RNA
Source: RNAcentral
CAUAGGCACCAAGCGUUGUCCGGAUUUAUUGGGCGUAAAGAGCUCGUAGGCGGUUCAGUCAGUCGGGUGUGAAAACUCUGGGCUUAACCCAGAGCCUGCACCCGAUACUGCUGUGACUAGAGUUCGGUAGGGGAGCGGGGAAUUCCUGGUGUAGCGGUGAAAUGCGCAGAUAUCAGGAGGAACACCGAUGGCGAAGGCACCGCUCUGGGCCGAAACUGACGCUGAGGAGCGAAAGCAUGGGUAGCAAACAGGAUUAGAUACCCUGGUAGUCCAUGCCGUAAACGUUGGGCACUAGGUGUGGGUUCCAAUCAACGGAAUCCGCGCCGUCGCUAACGCAUUAAGUGCCCCGCCUGGGGAGUACGGUCGCAAGACUA